Drosophila santomea is the source of this 430-nucleotide long non-coding RNA. RefSeq lists it as uncharacterized. The transcript is spliced from 3 exons. The record is from RefSeq and is a predicted model, not a curated record. NCBI's taxonomy places the organism in Eukaryota, Metazoa, Arthropoda, Insecta, Diptera, Drosophilidae.
UGACAAACGGAACACCUGAGACUGCGAUUGGAUCUUCUUUUUAGCGCACUUAGUGCUCAUGUUCAUGUUCGCUGAUAAUCUGAGGUUUAUUCGGUUGGGUUUGGUUGAGCCUCAGUGUCAUUUGAAGUGAUCGUCGAUCCGCAGAUGCUGCUCCAUUAAUCAUGUGGGUAUUAUAACUAUGGGCAGCUAAUAUUUCAAAUUUUUACAGCCGAGUUAACCGUGUAAUUAUUGCGUUGUUUGUGGUUCCAUGAUCUCUGACCAGUGGCCCAUCUGUUCAUCCACCAAUUGAUGAUUCAUUUCAAUCACUGGCAGUGACUUUAAGUUAUUGUUUGACUUUGUCAAUUUUGUUUUGCCAAAGACAUGAAUUCAAUCUGUCAAUCAAAAAAUUACGAAAGUGUAACCGAAUAUUAUAUUUUAGGGAUUGAUUUCA